RNAcentral lists this ribosomal RNA (253 nucleotides) under uncultured prokaryote. RNAcentral describes it as "partial 16S ribosomal RNA". It matches the Rfam family "Bacterial small subunit ribosomal RNA", at positions 525 to 777 of the family's 1533-position model. The record is from RNAcentral.
ACGUAGGCAGCAAGCGUUGUUCGGAAUUACUGGGCGUAAAGCGCGUGUAGGCGGCUCUUCAAGUCAGGCGUGAAAGCCCUGAGCUCAACUCAGGAACUGCGCUUGAUACUGUCGAGCUAGAGUGCAGAAGGGGCAACUGGAAUUCUCGGUGUAGCGGUGAAAUGCGUAGAUAUCGAGAGGAACACCUGCGGCGAAGGCGGGUUGCUGGGCUGACACUGACGCUGAGGCGCGAAAGCUAGGGGAGCGAACGGGA